AGUGAACGCUGGCGGUAGGCCUAACACAUGCAAGUCGAACGGCAGCACAGUAAGAGCUUGCUCUUACGGGUGGCGAGUGGCGGACGGGUGAGGAAUACAUCGGAAUCUACUUUUUCGUGGGGGAUAACGUAGGGAAACUUACGCUAAUACCGCAUACGACCUACGGGUGAAGGCAGGGGAUCUUCGGACCUUGCGCGAUUGAAUGAGCCGAUGUCGGAUUAGCUAGUUGGCGGGGUAAAGGCCCACCAAGGCGACGAUCCGUAGCUGGUCUGAGAGGAUGAUCAGCCACACUGGAACUGAGACACGGUCCAGACUCCUACGGGAGGCAGCAGUGGGGAAUAUUGGACAAUGGGCGCAAGCCUGAUCCAGCCAUACCGCGUGGGUGAAGAAGGCCUUCGGGUUGUAAAGCCCUUUUGUUGGGAAAGAAAAGCAGCAGGUUAAUACCCCACUGUUCUGGCGGUACCCAAAGAAUAAGCACCGGCUAACUUCGUG
RNAcentral lists this ribosomal RNA (492 nucleotides) under uncultured bacterium. RNAcentral describes it as "partial 16S ribosomal RNA". It matches the Rfam family "Bacterial small subunit ribosomal RNA", at positions 29 to 507 of the family's 1533-position model. The record is from RNAcentral.